UACGGAGGGUGCGAGCGUUAUCCGGAUUCACUGGGUUUAAAGGGUGCGUAGGUGGGCUUGUAAGUCAGUGGUGAAAUCUCCGUGCUUAACAUGGAAACUGCCAUUGAUACUAUAGGUCUUGAAUCUUCCGGAGGUUAGCGGAAUAUGUCAUGUAGCGGUGAAAUGCUUAGAUAUGACAUAGAACACCGAUUGCGAAGGCAGCUAACUACAGGGGCAUUGACACUGAGGCACGAAAGCGUGGGGAUCAAACAGG
RNAcentral lists this ribosomal RNA (253 nucleotides) under uncultured bacterium. Its description in RNAcentral is "partial 16S ribosomal RNA". It matches the Rfam family "Bacterial small subunit ribosomal RNA", at positions 524 to 776 of the family's 1533-position model. The record is from RNAcentral.